GUGGGGGCUUGCAUCACAGAGGAUCUCUACACAUCAGAAUGAAUGGGACGUGGGGCAGGCAGCACACUGCAAUGUGGCUGUUUUGUCUCCAAACUCCAAAGCCCUAAGCUUAUCUUGUGUUGUGGUGAGGCGCAUGGCGCACAAAGCAUUUGCAUCUUUCAAGGGAUAUUCUUUUUGUAAAGAUUUAUGUAUUCAUUUGAAAGGCAAAGCAAUCUUACACCGGCUGGUUCACUCCGCAAGUAGUCACAAUGGCCAGGGCUGGGCCAGGCUUUAGCCAGGAGCCCGGAACACACCCAGGCCCCCACGUGGUUGGGAAGGGGCCAAGUGCUCGAGCUGCCGUCCACUGCUUUCCCAGCACGAUAGCAAGGAGUGGGUGCUCUGAGAGCGGAUGCCAGCGUUGCAGGUGCGGCUUACUCACCGGCCGGGUCCCGGCCCCCGGCUGGGUCUGCUGGGCUGACGUGUAGGAAUCAGCCCACUGUGUCCAUGUCCGUCUGCCCACAGAUGGCCACAGGGACGAGCGGAGGAUAAAUCUGGGAGCAGAGUGGGCAUGGAAAGGCUGAGAAGGCCUCUUGGGCGCAGUGGGGCUGUCAAGUUUCCACGGCCGGAACCUACAACCACGGGCGGAGCAGGGCGGGCGUCCGGGAACUGGCUUCAUGCUGGUGCGUGUGAUAUGGGUACCCACUCAGGAAAGACACCGUUCCAGCUGGAACUCUCGAAUUCCCGCAGAGCGACGCUCAGUUUCAUACGGCCACCUUCCCAGGAUGCAACAGUCCCACACUGGACCAGGGCGCAUGCUCAGACCCUGCCCGGGUAGCCAAUCCGCGUGGGGCCCCGCCCCCUUCCCUAUAAGAAGGCGAAGAAGGCGGGAAAUUCGCAGACCGCUCUCUGCGGCGGGGCGCCUGUGGGCCGAGCCUUUCCUCUCCACCCGGUGGACGGUGUGGCCGGACCGCUCCGCCCCCGUGAGAUUCUUGUCAUUCUAGAAAUAGUGAACCUAAUCCUGUAAUUACAUCCCCCACCACCAGUUGUGGUCCAUACAAGACAACGAUCACUGAAAGCCUUUGUGAGGUUGGCGCCUCUCUUCUUGUGCAUUCCUUCUGGUGAGUGGUCUGCUCUUACGUAGCACAUCAGUCUCAGUGGGUUCCUUCCCCGGAUCUCUCAGGGCUUCCUUCCACUGCCUGCCAUGGAAUUGUGGCAUUCCAGCUCACUUAACAUGGGCCAUUGGUUUUUCCCUUGCUCUUUGAAAAUAGCCUGGUAGCAAUUUUACCCUAUCUUCUACUACUUUGCCAGGAUGCUGGAUCUUGCAUCUCCUACCACUUCCAAAUGACUAAAUUCUUUUCACAAGCUUUUUCCAGGUCCCCUUGAUCAAGUGUCCUCAGAGUUAAGUCCCACGUGAUCUCUUCUGGCUUCAUUAGCAUACAUUGGCUGAAUCUUGUCAUUAUUUGUUAGACCUAGGUCAUCACAGUCUUGACAUGGCCUCAGUCAUUAUCUAAUGGCUGUAGGGAUAUUUGGGGACAUCCUGAAACGAAUGCAAGAUGUCUUGCCAGGGGGCCGUAUUUGUGAUUUAAAUGGGAGAGUGCUUGCUGUUGUUAACAGUAGGGCUGGAACAGUUCUGCAGGACUAAACUCUUUGGGAACAUGGAAAAUCCAAGAUUUCAGAGAUUUCUCAAUGAAAUGCCUCCAUCCCAUGUGUCAGGGUUCUAUUUUUUUUUUUUUUUUGACAGGCAGAGUGGACAGAGUGAGAGAGAGAGACAGAGAGAAAGGUCUUCCUUUUCCGUUGGUUCACCCCCCAAUGGCCGCUGUGGCCAGUGCGCUGUGGCCGGCGCACUGCACUGAUCGGAAGCCAGGAGCCAGGUGCUUCUCCUGGUCUCCCAUGCUGGUGCAGGGCCCAAGGACUUGGGCCAUCCUCCACUGCCUUCCAGGGCCACAGCAGAGAGCUGGACAGGAAGAGGAGCGACCGGGACAGAAUCUGGCGCCCUGACUGGCACUAGAAUCUGGUGUGCCAGCGCCGCAGGUGGAGGAUUAGCCUAGUGAGCCGUGGCGCUGGCUAAGGGUUCUAUUCUUAACAAGAAUCCUCAUGUUGGCAUUGCAGAUCUGGGUUGGUUGGAAGCUCGAUGUCUUUUUGGACUUGACUACUCUGACAAGUAAGUCCUAUGUCUAUCGUCCUCACAAAGGUAUCCACAUCCUUGUCCAGAUUCUGUGAAUAUGGUAGAUUAUAUGCAAAUUGGUGGUGGUAACUAAGCCUACCACCUUAGUUGCUAACCAGUGACCUUAAAAUAGGGACAUUAUCUUGGAUUCUUUUGGUGGCCCCAUUGUAAUCCCAAGGGUUCUUAGUAUUGGAAGAGGGAGGCAGAAGAAUUGAAUCAUGGAUGGAUAUGUCUGUGUGAAAUUGAUCAGAGUAAUACAGUGUUGCUGAUUCUGAAGAUGGAAGAAGUGGACAGUGAGGCAAAGAAUUUGGAGGGAGCAGCUCUAGGAGCUGGGCAAAGUAAAGGAAUGGAUCAUGCUCGCCAUUCUCAGAAGAAACAUACUACAUUGUUUUUAACCCAUUGAGACCCAUUUCUUAGUUUUGAUCUCCCAGUAUCAUAGAGUAAUACUCCACAUUGUUUAAGGCACUAAGAGGGUGGUAAUUUGUUAAAAAAUCACUAGAAAAUCAUUGAAGUCUGUGUCCCAGCCUUUUCUGCCCAUCUCUAGUGGAGACAAGAGCCUCUUGGCAUUCUUCCCUCUAUUUCUUACCUGGUUCUCACACCAUGUUAAUAGCUCUCAGCUCCUCAUCAGCUUUAAAGCAUUUAUGGACCUUACAGAAUGGCUCCCCAACUCCAUUGUUUUGGUUGUUACUGUUUGUCCCUUUUUUGUCAAAUUUCUCUUCUGGCAAUGAAACAUUCUGUUUCACCAUCAGUGGGAGUUCAAGCCAUUGAACUACAGCCUUGUUCCUGGAGGUCACCUAUAACCACAGUGCAUUCCUCAUUUCAAGCUACACAAAGACGACCUAGCUUCCAACCCCCUUCUUAUCACCAUUACUGUUGUCUGUAACCAUUCCUGGCACCAAGCUUCACCGGCUGGUUCUGCAGUAAGCCGCCUUUGACAUGGAGUGUAGCAGCCUGAUGUUCUUAGUGGGCCCUUGGGGAAAAUUCUUGUAGAAGGCUGGGGAUCAGGAGCUUGGUCAGAGGCCAAGGCCACGUUGUGAGUCAAGUCUGAUCAGCCUCAGUAAACCCCAUGGGGAGAUAUGGAGCUGACUCACGUAGGACUGAAAAAACCUUAGUGUUCCCAUGUUGCCACUUCAGAUGAUAAUGGGAUACACUUCUCUCUUCUAGCCACCCAAGGGACUGACCUGUGCCAAGGUGACUGUCACCCAGAGCACUGAGAGGAGCUAAAGAAGGAGGUCUGCUGACAACACCAACAGCAGCAAGAUAAGACACUGUAUCCAUCACUAAAUUGCCACCUUAAAAAAUGCUCCAUUCACCCUUAUUUAAUGUUUUUCACUUACCUACUUUGAGGAUAUGCCAAGAUCUUUCAGUGAGGUUACACAAAAAUCAUUUUAUCAGCUUUAGCAGUAAAAAGUAGAUUAUCUAAUACAGUGGAAGAGUAAUUUCAAAAUACUGAGGGAAAAUAAGCAUCCACUUGAAAUUUUGUGUCUAUCAGAAGCAAAGAUGCAAUGAAGAUGUUUUUCACAUAAGUAUUGACAGGAAAAAAACUUCUUAAGGCUAUGCAGGCUCUUUUAACAAAAGGAAGUUUUGACCUCAUGAGGAAGGAGUAGGGUAGAAGGAGCAAUGAGAAACAGAUAAAUAGCUAAAAUUGGAGUGAUUUCUUCUAUUUCAUGAAUUUGAGAUAGAAAUGAUGACAUUUUGAGAAAUAUAUCUGUGGUGAAACAGUCACUACAGGUAAGCAAUUUAACAUAUCUACCACCUUCAGUAUUUCCUUUUUGUAAAGUAUUAGUACCCAAAAUCUACAAUAGCAAAUUUCCAGUGUUAUUAACUACAGUUCUGUUGUGCAUGGUAUCUGUAAGACUUACUUAUCCUGCUUAGCUGCAAAUUCGUAUGUUUUGACCUGCAUCCCCCCCAACCUGCCCCCCACCCCUUACCCCCCACAUCCCAAUAACCACUGUUCUACUCUCUGGGUCUGUGUAUUCAGCAUUCUUUUAGAUCAUUUAUGUAAGUGAGAUCAGGUGAUAUUCUUCUUUCUUUUACUGGCAUAUUUCACUUAGCGUCAUGUUUUUCAGGUCUAUCUAUGUUGCUGCAUGUGGCAGUAUCUAUUUUUUUAAGACAAUAAUAUUCCAGUGUGUAUAUACCACAUAUUCUUUAUCAGUUUGUUCACUGAUGGACUGUUAGGUUGAUUCCAUAUCUUGCCUCUGUGAAUAAUAAUUUGAGAUACUGAUUUCAUUUUCUUUAGUUAUAUGAACAGUAGUGGAAUAGUUGAAUCAUAUAUUAGCUCUGUUUUCAAAAGAGGGAAAUUGAGUUUUCUGUUUUCAUACAGUUUUCCAACAUGGUUCUACCAAUUUUCAUUGCCACUGAGAAUGGGCACAUUUACCUUUUCUCCACACCCUUGAUUAGACUUGUUAUCUUGGCCGUAGCCAUCAUGACAGGUGUGAGGCGCAUCUCCUCAUUACUUCACUUGGCAUUUCUCUUAUAAUUAGUGAUUUUGAGCACCUGUUCAUAUAGCUGCUCCCCAUUGCAUGUCUUCUUUUGAGAAAUGCCCAUUCAGGUCCUUUGUCCAUUUUUUUAGUGAGGUUAUUUGUUUUUGGGUUUUGUCUAAGUUGCUAUUUAGUUGUAUGAGUUCCUUAUAUGUUGUUAAUCUCUUAUCAUAUAUAUGGUUUGCAGAUAUUUUCCUCCAUUAUAUAACUUACCUUUUGUUGAGUGCUCUGCUUUGCAGAAGCUUUCUGGUGCAGCCCCCCUGUUAGUUUACUUCUGUUGCUGUGAUUUUGCCUGUACAAAGGCCAGCAUCGUAAACCUUUCACCUGUGUUUACUUCUGGGAGUUUAGCAUAUGCUGGGAGAUGGGUGUUCAGCUUUAUUCUUUGCUAAAUGAUGAAUGAUGAUUAAAAAAGAAGACAAACAUUUGAAAGUUUGAAAAUAUUAUUGGAAAGUACUAAUAAAUGGCAAAGUGAGGGAGUAUAUAAACA
This is a long non-coding RNA of Oryctolagus cuniculus (rabbit), 5110 nucleotides long. Lineage: Eukaryota; Metazoa; Chordata; Mammalia; Lagomorpha; Leporidae. The record is from Ensembl.